RNAcentral lists this ribosomal RNA (437 nucleotides) under uncultured Oscillospiraceae bacterium. RNAcentral's name for it is "bacterial SSU rRNA". It matches the Rfam family "Bacterial small subunit ribosomal RNA", at positions 341 to 792 of the family's 1533-position model. The record is from RNAcentral. Lineage: Bacteria; Bacillati; Bacillota; Clostridia; Eubacteriales; Oscillospiraceae.
ACGGGAGGCAGCAGUGGGGAAUAUUGGGCAAUGGGCGAAAGCCUGACCCAGCAACGCCGCGUGAAGGAAGAAGGCCUUCGGGUUGUAAACUUCUUUUACCAGGGACGAAGGACGUGACGGUACCUGGAGAAAAAGCAACGGCUAACUACGUGCCAGCAGCCGCGGUAAUACGUAGGUUGCAAGCGUUGUCCGGAUUUACUGGGUGUAAAGGGCGUGUAGGCGGAGCUGCAAGUCAGAUGUGAAAUCCCGGGGCUCAACCCCGGAACUGCAUUUGAAACUGCAACUCUUGAGUGAGGUAGAGGUAAGCGGAAUUCCUAGUGUAGCGGUGAAAUGCGUAGAUAUUAGGAGGAACAUCGGUGGCGAAGGCGGCUUACUGGGCCUUUACUGACGCUGAGGCACGAAAGCGUGGGGAGCAAACAGGAUUAGAUACCCUGGUA